GACAUUAUCCGCCACUACGCCUUUACCGAUCCGAAUCCCACUGCUUCGAUUGUGUUCCAAGGAACGGUCGUCAACGUCCAGCCGUCUCCUGUGCUUGCAGCUUUUAGCUCGCGAGGACCUAAUCCCAUAACGCCAAACAUUCUCAAACCGGACUUGAUCGCUCCUGGAGUCAAUAUCCUCGCCGCGUGGACCGGAGCUGUGGGACCGUCCGGACUAGCUUCGGAUACUCGCCGCGUGGAAUUCAACAUCAUCUCAGGAACGUCCAUGUCUUGCCCUCACGUCAGCGGUUUAGCGGCUCUUCUCAAGUCUGUAUAUCCCGAAUGGAGCCCCGCGGCUAUUCGAUCGGCUCUCAUGACCACCGCUUAUAAUACAUACAAAGACGGAAACCCGAUCAUUGACAUCGCGACGGGGAUACCUUCAACGCCGUUCGAGCACGGUGCAGGACAUGUAUCGCCAACGACGGCCGUCAAUCCAGGACUCAUCUACGAUCUAACGACGGCCGAUUAUUUAGGUUUCCUCUGCGCAUUGAAAUAUAAUUCGUCGCUGAUCAGAAUCAUAUCGAGAGGCAACUACACUUGCGACCCAAGCAAAACGUACUCCGUCGCUGAUCUAAACUAUCCGUCGUUUGCCGUUAACGUCGACGGGUCCAGCACGUACAAGUACACACGCACGGUCACAAACGUUGGAGGAGCUGGGUCAUACUCGGUUAAAGUAACGUCGGAGACAACAGCAGUCAAGAUUUCGGUUGAACCGGCGAUUUUGAAUUUUAAAGAAGUGAACGAGAAGAAAUCUUAUGAGGUAACGUUUACCGUUGACUCGUCUAAGCCGUCUGGGUCUAACAGCUUUGGGAGCAUUGAGUGGUCAGAUGGGAAACAUGUGGUGGCCAGUCCCGUGGCGAUUAGCUGGCCAUAGGUGGUCGAUUGUGACUAGCAGAUAUUGUAAUGCUACUUUCAUAAGAAUUCUGUUUCGGUUAAACGGCAUGCAGUCUGCUUUGUUGGUAAUUUAUCAUGCGACUUGAAUAUUUAAUGAAAACUAUAAAAAAGGGUUAAGACUAUUUUAGCUGGCUAGUGUGUUAUGACUAUUUCUAUUUACUAGGCUGUGGACAUUUAUACUGACAUUUAUUAAAUUAGUUUAUGAGAUACGAAAUAUACUAGGCAUGCAAUACUAGUUCAUGAUUAAUUAAUGGCCAAUCUUCUCUUUUUUUUUGCUGAAAUUAAUGGUCAAUCUUGAUUCACGUUGCAUGAAUGUGAACCACUCUACGUAGGAAACUCUCAGCAAUCAACUACCUCCAGUGUAUCAUAACAAUGUGAUUACGAUAAGUAUAAAAAUAUGAAUCUAAUAAGGUUGAAAAGACUCUAAUUAAGAUCUAAUGAUAACCAACACGAGGUUUCUAUUUGAAGAACCAACGACAAGAAGUUUAUCAAUAUGAGGUAAUAAGGAGAUCCAUUGAAAUACUUAUCUUCAAACAAACUGUUAAAAUGUAUGGCUUUUGUUAAUAGUAAACUCACCUCUUUCCAUAAAUUACACAAAUUUGCAGAUAAAAAAAUCCAGAAGAAAAGAAAACAUAAAAAUUCAUAUCCCCUAUAUAUUAAAAGAGAAACACUACAACAUAUUUUUGUAGCCACAUGUCAUCACCACAAUCAUUCUAAAAAUCCUUAGAAAAAUAUGUUGGUCCAUAUAAAUAUAUAAUAAGUUUUUUUAUUAAACUAACCAUAAAUUAAUCAUAAAUGUUUUUCAUUGUUUCCUUAAAUAAAAAUCACGGAAUUACCUAAUGUGGCUAAAGUAUAUAUGAUAAUUAAUGAUUUUGAAUAAUAAAGAUUUGAUAAAAAUCAGUCUAUUCUCUAUCAUUUUUAAUUCAUUUUAAAAUAAAUUAAAUAACCACAUUAACUAUAUAAUAAAAAUUUAGAUUUUGCCGUAUAUGUUAUAUUUUGAAUUUUAAAAAACGAAUAUAAAUGACUAAAGUUGUUAAAAAUCUCACACUGAAAUUUUUGUGAUCCAUGGUUUAAAAUUUAUGUUAUAACAAGAUACAAAUGAUUACGAAAUUACAUAAGUAAGAAGUCUCAUUUAAUAAAUAUCAGAUAUAUGCAUAUUAAUAUUUUUUAAAAAUAAAUUAUAUACCAUAUAAAAUACAUAAGUAUUUUAAUUUCGAAUUUUAUUUGAAAUUUUUUGAUAAACAUUUUGAACAAUUAUUGACAACUUAAUAUUUAGAUUUUAAACUUUGCAUUGAAUGUUUUUAAAAUUAUAAAUUACUAAAAGUAUUAAACAUCCCAUAAAUUUUUUAUUGUUAUCAUUGAUUUAAAAUUUUUGUUAUAAGAAAAAUACAAACGAUCAAAAAUAAUAUGAGUAUAAAAUAUUUUUUAACGGAUGUAAAUAUUAAAAAUGUACUAUAUAUCUAUGUUAAUAUCAUUUAAACUUAAUUUUAUAACAUAUAAAAUAGAAAAAAAUAUUUGUCUGGAUAAAAAAAAUUAUUUAAGUAUUUGUACCAAUUUAGUUAUAUACGUAAUAGUUACUAAAUUUUUAAUUAUUCAAUAUGUAUAUAUUAUUUUAUAAUAUGUAAAAAAAUAUAUAAUACUUAAAAAUGAUUUAUAUAUAAUAUUCAUCCCGUGUAAUGCGCGGAUCUUAACCUAGUUUUAAUAUUAUUUAAGCUUAUUUAAAACAUAUAUAUGUAUAUUUAAAUAAACGAUUUUAAUCAAACUGAAAAAUCUAUAAUAAGUAAGUCACUUAAGUUCUCGACUUAUAAUUUGAAACAAAAAUAAAUUCAUUUUGUGUUAAUUGUCAAAUUAUUUCUAUUCCAUCGAAAGUCAACAGUUAAAUAUAACUAACAUUGUUGACUUUUUGUUGUAUAAAAAUUGUUUGCUUAAUGAGUUAUAUUCGUGUUUAAACGAAAUUAAUGAAUAAAAUGAUGCGUAUAUGCGUUGAAGUUAUUUUGAUUUAAAUUUGAAACUUGAGUACUAUUUUGUUAAUUUCUCUCUAAGAUAAGAGAUAAAAAAAAGUAUAGAUUUUACUAUGAAUAAAUAGACGAUCUUCAUCACGAGUUACUACACAAAGUAUAUAUUUACUUCAUUGCCAGAAGCCGUAACUGAAGGGAAUCAGUAGACAGUAGUAGUAAUGAUGCAAAGUGCAUCAGCUGCAAAGAAGAACUGGAAGAAACGAAGUGUGCGCCCAAGUAAAGUUGCAGGCCUCCUCACAUGUGGCUGAUUAUCUACUUGUGUAGCUGUAGCAGCUGGAGGAGGAUCUUCCACGGGAUGAACCGAUGCAUGACUCACACUCAUUUCCUUCUCUUAUUAAAUAAUAUUGAUACUUCCCCCUUUCGAAUCUUCUCAUACUUCAGAUCUAAUCUGAACUUCUUAUAAGGUUAAAAGUUUUCAACUAGUAGUUUCGUUCAGAGUGAGAAAUGAGAUCCAAUUAAAUUUUCUUGUGUUGUAACAAGUCUCGACCGUAUACAAUCUUUUAAGUUUCAAACAAGUCACAGUAUAUACCGAGUUAAAGUACAAACAGAAACAGAGAAUCUCAAUAUAAAAUUAAUAGCGCAAUAAUAUCUCAAGAUAAUACUUAAGUCUAGUAAUUACUGUAAUUGGAUGUUACGCAUUGCGGAUGGAAGAAUGCAAAUAGGUGGGGGCACAUAUAUAUAAAAUAUUUUUCAGUUGGGGGCAUUUCAUAGAAAGCAUAAGAAUUACUGAAGAAAAUUUUAAAAUGAGAUGAGGGCACGUGACCCCAUACCCUUGGCUGUACGUCCGCCCCUGGGCAUAGGUAAACUUAAGUGAACAAAAGUUUUCAAUUUAUAUCAUAUUGGUUUUCUAAUCCCUCAAGGCAUGAGAAUUCUAUCAAACCCACAAGCCGUCAUUAUAGUCUGAAACAAGUUGCAGUAAAUAUCAUAGUUAAUGACGUUAAUACUAGACAGAAACAUAGAUUCUCAAGAUAAUAAAACAAUAAUAAUCUCGGAGAUAAUGCUAAUAAUUCGUAUAAUUGGAUAUACUAUUUCAUAUUGAACAUAGGAAAAAUUAUGGGAACAAGAGUCUUGAUUUUUUGUCUUGGGGAACAAAAAAGUCUACAAACAUUAAAAUUUACGAAAAAAACAAAAAUGAAUUCAGAGACAAAUCUCUGUCUGUCGAAUUCAGAGACAAAUCAAACAGAAAAAACUAAAGUGAUCACUUUCAAAGCAGAAUCUCACAUUCAAAUCAGAAUAGUGGACAGGAGAGUCUGAUACUAAUAUCUUAUCGCUCACUUCCUCGACUCCAUUUAAACUCUCUAACACCUUCACAUUUCCACACAAUUUAAAAAGAUGACAUAUUCGUUUCUUUCCUCCACUGCUCCCUUCUUUAUCGUUUUUCUGUAUCUCGGUUCCUGCCACGUCUCCAAUGGAGCUCAACAAGCUACUUACAUUGUUCACAUGGCUAAAUCUCAGAUGCCCUCGAGCUUCGAUCAACACUCUCUCUGGUACGAUUCCUCACUCCGCUCAGUCUCAGAAUCCGCUGCAAUGAUCUACACCUACAACAAUGCAAUACAUGGAUUCGCCACUCGGCUUACUCCCGAAGAAGCCGACUCCCUCAUGACCCAACCUGGUGUCAUCUCGGUUCGACAAGAGCAGCGGCACGAGUUACACACCACUCGGACUCCACUAUUCCUAGGUCUAGAUGUACACAACGGAGGCUUAUUCCCCGAAACCAGCACAUCUAGCAACCUUGUCAUCGGAGUUCUCGACUCAGGUGUUUGGCCAGAGAGCAAAAGCUUCUCCGACGAAGGAUACGGCCCCAUUCCGCCUACAUGGAAAGGCGGCUGCGACGCUGGGACUAGAUUCACCAUGUCGCUCUGUAACCGCAAACUAAUCGGAGCUAGAUUCUUCGUUCGGGGUUACGAAGCAAUUAAUGGGCCAGUGGACGAAUCCAAAGAGUCAAAAUCGCCUAGAGAUGACGACGGUCACGGAACACACACGGCGUCAACCGCAGCGGGAUCAGUGGUGGAAGGAGCUAAUCUUUUAGGGUUUGCUAAUGGAACGGCUCGUGGGAUUGCUUAUCGCGCUCGAGUGGCUGUUUACAAAGUUUGUUGGCAACCUGGUUGCUUCAGCUCAGAUAUUUUAGCUGGAAUCGAUAAAGCCAUCGAAGAUAAUGUCAACAUUCUGUCUAUAUCUCUCAGCGGUAUAACGACAUAUUAUACAGACGAUAUUGCCAUUGGAGCAUUUGCAGCCAUGGAAAGAGGGAUCUUUGUUUCUUGCUCGGCUGGUAAUUUUGGUCCCAGCCCUUUCAGUGUAACGAACAUAGCUCCGUGGAUUACUACUGUUGGUGCUGGUACAUUAGAUCGUGAUUUUCCCGCGCUCGCGAUUCUCGGAAAUGGGAAGAACUACACUGGAGUUUCGUUGUUUAAAGGUGAUGAUGAACUUCCGGCUAAAUUGUUGCCAUUUAUUUACGCGGGGAAUGCUAGUGAUGAUGCUAUUGGAUAUCUUUGUUUCCCCGGAACACUAAUUCCUGAGAAGGUAAAGGGGAAGAUCGUAAUGUGCGAUACAGGAGGAGUGGCUCCGGCUAUGAUAGGGGAGGUGGUGAAAAGUGCUGGUGGACUCGGAAUGAUUAUAGCGAAUUUGGCAGGGAGAGGAGAAGAAGUUCAGGCGGAGGCUCACUUUUUACCGGCGACCGCUGUGGGAGAGAAAGCCGGUGACAUUAUCCGCCGCUACGUCUUGACCGAUCCGAAUCCAACGGCUUCAAUUGUGAUCCAAGGCACUGUCGUCAACGUCAAGCCAUCUCCUGUGCUUGCAGCUUUUAGCUCGCGAGGACCUAAUCCCAUAACGCCAAACAUUCUCAAACCGGACUUGAUUGCUCCGGGAGUCAAUAUCCUCGCAGCAUGGACCGGAUCUCUGGGUCCCACCGGACUAGCUUCUGAUACUCGCCGC
RNAcentral lists this long non-coding RNA (5881 nucleotides) under Brassica rapa (field mustard). Its description in RNAcentral is "long non-coding RNA (BRAP_LNC006333)". Lineage: Eukaryota; Viridiplantae; Streptophyta; Magnoliopsida; Brassicales; Brassicaceae. The record is from RNAcentral.